This 200-nucleotide ribosomal RNA is filed under the name uncultured bacterium. RNAcentral's name for it is "partial 16S ribosomal RNA". It matches the Rfam family "Bacterial small subunit ribosomal RNA", at positions 30 to 235 of the family's 1533-position model. The record is from RNAcentral.
AUUGAACGCUGGCGGCAGGCCUAACACAUGCAAGUCGAGCGCGAAAGUUCUUCGGAAUGAGUAAAGCGGCGGACGGGUGAGUAAUACAUGGGAAUCUGCCUGGUAGUGGGGGACAACGUUUCGAAAGGAACGCUAAUACCGCAUACGCCCUACGGGGAAAGGGGGGAUCGCAAGACCUCUCGCUAUCAGAUGGGCCCAUG